Molecule: ribosomal RNA, 474 nt
Filed under: uncultured bacterium
Lineage: Bacteria
Description: bacterial SSU rRNA
Rfam family: Bacterial small subunit ribosomal RNA
Source: RNAcentral
GACGAACGCUGGCGGCACGCCUAACACAUGCAAGUCGAGCGGAGAUUGAGAGCUUGCUCUCAUGAUCAGCGGCGGACGGGUGAGUAACACGUGAGCAACCUGCCUUUCAGAGGGGGACAACAGUUGGAAACGACUGCUAAUACCGCAUAAUAUUGUCGAACGGCAUCGUUUGGCAAUCAAAGGAGCAAUCCGCUGAAAGAUGGGCUCGCGUCUGAUUAGAUAGUUGGUGAGGUAACGGCUCACCAAGUCGACGAUCAGUAGCCGGACUGAGAGGUUGAUCGGCCACAUUGGGACUGAGACACGGCCCAGACUCCUACGGGAGGCAGCAGUGGGGGAUAUUGGACAAUGGGGGAAACCCUGAUCCAGCGAUGCCGCGUGAGGGAAGAAGGUUUUCGGAUUGUAAAACUCUAUCAGCAGGAAGAUAAUGAACGGUACCUGACUAAGAAGCACCGGCUAAANACGUGCCAGCAGCCG